AUCGAACAUGGUGUUUUAAAUGUGUCGUCUCCUUAGUCACCUGUGGAUGGAGUCAUGCUGACCCAGCCCUUCCACGUCAGAUCCCGAGUGGCAGUGGCACGUGUUCCCCAGGGUCCCUCACCAGUGGGAAAGUUACUGGGAAGUAGGGCAGGCUGCGUCCUCCACGCCAGGGACUGUAUAGUGUGGGAGAAGCCUUCCCUUCAGGCUGCAGAGCCCCAAGCUCUGAACUGGCCUUCCCUAGUUCUGGAAGCUUCCUUCCUUCUGCUCUCAGUGACGCUGCUGGAGGUGCGGGCAGAGCCCGGAUAGUCACAUCCGGGCCUGCCCUGUGCAUGGAGUCUCCUAAAUACCCAGGGUCCUCCCUGGCAACCCAAGCAGAGCAGGCUGGAGCUCAAGGUAAUGUCACAGUGACUUACCCUGCUCUCUGGAUCUUCUCUUCCUUUGCCUUGCACUGUUUAU
Molecule: long non-coding RNA, 456 nt
Filed under: Fukomys damarensis (Damara mole-rat)
Lineage: Eukaryota; Metazoa; Chordata; Mammalia; Rodentia; Bathyergidae
Description: lncRNA (ENSFDAG00000026318.1)
Source: RNAcentral